RNAcentral lists this ribosomal RNA (415 nucleotides) under uncultured bacterium. Its description in RNAcentral is "bacterial SSU rRNA". It matches the Rfam family "Bacterial small subunit ribosomal RNA", at positions 355 to 787 of the family's 1533-position model. The record is from RNAcentral.
UCGGGAAUAUUGCGCAAUGGAGGAAACUCUGACGCAGUGACGCCGCGUGCAGGAAGAAGGUUUUCGGAUUGUAAACUGCUUUAGACAGGGAAGAAAAAGACAGUACCUGUAGAAUAAGCUCCGGCUAACUACGUGCCAGCAGCCGCGGUAAUACGUAGGGAGCAAGCGUUAUCCGGAUUUAUUGGGUGUAAAGGGUGCGUAGACGGGAAAACAAGUUAGUUGUGAAAUUCCUCGGCUUAACUGAGGAACUGCAACUAAAACUAACUUUCUUGAGUGCUGGAGAGGAAAGUGGAAUUCCUAGUGUAGCGGUGAAAUGCGUAGAUAUUAGGAGGAACACCAGUGGCGAAGGCGACUUUCUGGACAGUAACUGACGUUGAGGCUCGAAAGCGUGGGGAGCAAACAGGAUUAGAUACCC